GUCCACGCCGUAAACGAUGGACACUAGGUGUGGGAGGUAUUGACCCCUUCCGUGCCGAAGCUAACGCAUUAAGUGUCCCGCCUGGGGAGUACGACCGCAAGGUUAAAACUCAAAGGAAUUGACGGGGCCCGCACAAGCGGUGGAGCAUGUGGUUCAAUUCGACGCAACGCGAAGAACCUUACCUGGGCUUGACAUCCGCUGACUGUCCUGGAAACAGGAUUUUCCCCGCAAGGGGACAGCGAGACAGGUGCUGCAUGGCUGUCGU
Molecule: ribosomal RNA, 265 nt
Filed under: uncultured bacterium
Lineage: Bacteria
Description: partial 16S ribosomal RNA
Rfam family: Bacterial small subunit ribosomal RNA
Source: RNAcentral